AGGGCACUACCAGGAGUGGAUCCUGCGGCUCAAUUUGACUCAACACGGGAAAGCUCACCUGGUCCGGACACUGGAAGGAUUGACAGAUUAAGAGCUCUUUCUUGAUUCAGUGGGUGGUGGUGCAUGGCCGUUCUUAGUUGGUGGAGCGAUUUGUCUGGUUAAUUCCGAUAACGAACGAGACUCUAGCCUACUAAAUAGGUGUUCCGAUCCCAUCAGUCGGACGCUCUUCUUAGAGGGACAAGCGGCGUUUAGCCGCACGAGACAGAGCAAUAACAGGUCUGUGGUGCCCUUAGAUGUCCGGGGCCGCACGCGCGCUACACUGAAGGAACCAGCGUGUGUCCCUGUCCGGCAGGACUGGGUAAUCCGUUGAACCUCCUUCGUGAUAGGGAUAGGGGCUUGUAAUUGUUCCCCUUGAACGAGGAAUUCCCAGUAAGCGUGAAUCAUCAGUUCACGUUGAUUACGUCCCUGGCCUUUGUACACACCGCCCGUCGCUACUACUGAUUGGAUGAUUCAGUGAGG
Molecule: ribosomal RNA, 519 nt
Filed under: uncultured eukaryote
Lineage: Eukaryota
Description: SSU rRNA
Rfam family: Eukaryotic small subunit ribosomal RNA
Source: RNAcentral